This is an RNA transcript of Onychostruthus taczanowskii (white-rumped snowfinch), 2618 nucleotides long. It is a transcript of the gene named kelch domain containing 1, with no coding region annotated. The transcript has 10 exons. NCBI's taxonomy places the organism in Eukaryota, Metazoa, Chordata, Aves, Passeriformes, Passeridae. The record is from RefSeq and is a predicted model, not a curated record.
CGCCCCAGGGGAGCGACCGGCGGCGGAGCCGCAGCUUCACCCGGAGGAGGCGGUGGCGGGACGCGAGCCCUGAGGCGGCCGAGCCGCUUCCUCCUCCUCCCUCCUCCUCCUCCUCCUCUUCCUCCCCCCCAAGAUGGCGGCGGACCCCGCGGAUCAGUUCUGCGUGGCCGAGGAGCGCAGCGGCCACUGCGCCGUGGUGGACGGCAACUUUCUCUACGUGUGGGGCGGAUACGUGUCCAUUGAAGAAAAUGAAGUUUAUCUGCCCAGCGAUGAGCUCUGGAUCUACGACAUGGACAGUGGGCUCUGGACAAUGCACCUGAUGGAAGGGGAGUUACCCACCUCCAUGUCAGGCAGCUGUGGGGCCAGCAUCAAUGGGAAGCUGUACAUUUUUGGGGGAUUUGAUGAUAAAGGAUACAGCAAUCGGCUGUAUUACGUCAAUUUGAGAACAAAAACCGGAACCUACAGGUGGAAAAAAAUCACAAAUUUUAAAGGUCAGCCUCCCACACCCCGUGACAAACUUUCCUGCUGGGUGUACAAAAACAGGCUAGUUUAUUUUGGAGGUUAUGGCUGCAGGAAGCACAACGAGCUCAGCGAUUGUUUCGACGUCCACGAUGCAUUUUGGGAAGGGCAGAUAUUCUGGGGAUGGCACAAUGAUGUUCAUGUGUUUGAUACAACCACACAGACUUGGUCUCAACCAACAAUUCGAGGUGGAGAUCCACCUCAGCCUCGAGCAGCUCACACGUGUGCUGUGCUGGGAAAUAAAGGUUACAUCUUUGGAGGACGAGUGCUGUUCACCAUAAUACAAAUCUUCCCAGGGAAAAGGCUCUGCAAGGAACCAGAAAGGGCCAGGAAGUGUCAUGAGGCUUCUCCUAUUCAUCUUUCUGGGAGGAAAGGGCACCUUUUUCCAAACUUGGAGCUAGAACUGGUAAAAGAAGAUGAUGAUGAUGAUGAUGGUGAUGAUGAUGAGAAUCAGUUGUACCAGGAAUCAUUUGAAAACAGGCUCAGAAGUGUUAUGUGGACUCAGUUCCUUCAGGUAAGCCCCUGGAAAAACAGAAAUGGGAGAAAGUGGGAAGGAAGGAGAGUUAGUCCAGAAGUUGAUGCGAGUCUUAUGUUUGAUUUAAGUGGAAAAUUUUCAUGUUGAGAAUGAAGUGAAUAAACCAAAGUCUUUGCAGCAGCUCUUCACACAUCUGGUGCCUUAAUGUAAGCAUGUUUCUAUUUCCUGUCAGCUAAGCUCAGAAGAUCCGUGGAGCUGCAAUCCUUCUCUUGGCAAAGCUUGGAGCUGGACUAGCUUUUGAUUGUAAAUCCAGGAGGGAGAGCUGCAGAAUUCCCUGUCCCAGCAGGGAGCUGGGAAUAAUGUCACCCUUAAAGCCUCUCAUGGUGCUAAUCCUGAGACCAAGCAGCUCCUGCCUAACGUGCACUGGGCUGCCAAGACAUCAACUUGCCAGAGAUGAGCAGAGUGCCUCAGGAGCCCUUGGAGCUCCGAGGGAAAUUCCAACCCUCCUAGGAGGCUUGGUGCUCUUAAGCCUAUUAAAAAUCAUUUCAGGAUUGGCAGCAGAAUGAUGAAAUAGAGGAGGACAGAGAAGUGCAUGAGAAGCUGCAGGAGAGCUGUGUGGCAAGUGAUGGUCCUGUAAACCUGUGUGGCUCCAGCUUCCCAAAGAAGGGUUGGGUAGAAAGGUGCUUUUAUUUGUUAAAGGCCUCAGUCUUGGACAGUUGGUGUUUUGAAUUCACAAUGAGGUUGCUGUAAUUCUGCAUCUGCCCAGCUGUUGAACCAUGAGAAUGCAAAGAUUUUUUGAUUUCCCAGGGAGCAGGAAAGAGAAUUUCUCCAUCUUCUGCCCAAUGCCCAGGAAAGGAAAGUCAGCGAGGAGGUCUUGAAAGGAUCCUCUUGAAACCUUAAUUUUCACCAUAACAGCAACUUCCUUUGAUAGAUAUCCUUUAUAUCAAAUUGUGUCACUCCAACGUGAUUGAGUAUUUCCAGUUGUAGAGGCCAGGAUGUUGGGUUUGCCCCAAAUGUACAGAAGAUCCCAACUGCAUUUUGCUUUCAGCUUGGAUGAUUUGAUCCCCUCAUGCCCUUCAAAGGCACCAGGAGCAGUAGGAAACUGGAGAGAGGUGUCAUGGAAGACAGAUCUGUUCCCCUGGCUGUCAGCUGGACCACACUUGGUUGGUUUUAGGUUGUUUUUAGGCAAUGCCCCAAACCCUGACAAUCUGCUUGUCUUUAUCCUGUUGCCCUCCCCAAAAUGCUCUUCCCAUUCCCUUCCCAGCCCAGCAGGGUUAGCAGUGCUUGGCAGAGGAGGUUGUAGAAUUCCUGAAAUCCCUGAGAGACUUCCCAGAGCUCUGCUGGGCAGCUCUGGGGGUCCCUCAGCCUCACUGCUGGGGUACAAGCACUCCUUUCAGCCUAGUUCUGCCUCAGAGGAUCUGCAAGCUGGAGAAAGGCUUUUUCUAAUAGAUCUAUGGACUGCCCAGGGAGAAAAGGAGUUGGAAGCAAACCAGAAUGAAUGAUUUGCACUGCCUGAAUUUAGACACUUGGACUUGGUCUGGAAGGAUUAAUAUCAGUGGAGAGAAGCCCAGAGAUCGCUCCUGGCACACGCUGACCCCCAUAGGGGAUGACAGACUUUUCCUUU